AUCCAGCUGACCAAUCCCAAAUAAAACGAAACAUACGUCCUGCAU
RNAcentral lists this non-coding RNA (45 nucleotides) under Schistosoma mansoni. Lineage: Eukaryota; Metazoa; Platyhelminthes; Trematoda; Strigeidida; Schistosomatidae. The record is from RNAcentral.